RNAcentral lists this ribosomal RNA (506 nucleotides) under uncultured bacterium. Its description in RNAcentral is "partial 16S ribosomal RNA". It matches the Rfam family "Bacterial small subunit ribosomal RNA", at positions 28 to 523 of the family's 1533-position model. The record is from RNAcentral.
GAUGAACGCUAGCUACAGGCUUAACACAUGCAAGUCGAGGGGUAACGAGAGGAAAGCUUGCUUUCCUUGUCGACGACCGGCGCACGGGUGAGUAACGCGUAUCCAACCUGCCCCCAACUAAGGAAUAACCUUGCGAAAGUAAGACUAAUACCUUAUAAUUUCCUCAGAUGUCAUCUGACGAGGAAUAAAGAUUUAUCGGUUGUGGAUGGGGAUGCGUCUGAUUAGCUUGUUGGCGGGGUAACGGCCCACCAAGGCAACGAUCAGUAGGGGUUCUGAGAGGAAGGUCCCCCACAUUGGAACUGGGACACGGUCCAAACUCCUACGGGAGGCAGCAGUGAGGAAUAUUGGUCAAUGGGCGGAAGCUUGAACCAGCCAAGUAGCGUGCAGGAUGACGGCCCUAUGGGUUGUAAACUGCUUUUAUACAGGAAUAAAGUUAGCCACGUGUGGUUAUUUGUAGGUACUGUAUGAAUAGGGACCGGCUAAUUCCGUGCCAGCCGCCGCGGUAA